UACGUAGGAGGCAAGCGUUAUCCGGAAUGACUGGGCGUAAAGGGUGCGCAGGCGGAAGAUCAAGUCAGCGGUAAAAUUGAGAGGCUCAACCUCUUCGAGCCGUUGAAACUGGUUUUCUUGAGUGAGCGAGAAGUAUGCGGAAUGCGUGGUGUAGCGGUGAAAUGCAUAGAUAUCACGCAGAACUCCGAUUGCGAAGGCAGCAUACCGGCGCUCAACUGACGCUCAUGCACGAAAGUGUGGGUAUCGAACAGG
Molecule: ribosomal RNA, 252 nt
Filed under: uncultured Bacteroidales bacterium
Lineage: Bacteria; Pseudomonadati; Bacteroidota; Bacteroidia; Bacteroidales
Description: partial 16S ribosomal RNA
Rfam family: Bacterial small subunit ribosomal RNA
Source: RNAcentral